GCGAGAGGGAUUCGCCAGACAGCCCCGCGCGCGCCGCACUGCGUCCCACGGCCCCACCACACAAACCCUAGCUUCCCACGCCCCGCAGCGCCGCACUCCCUCCUCCUCCGUCCUUCUUCGUCAGCCGCCGCCGCCGCUGUUCCGCCUCGCUCCUCUCUGUCCAACGACCACGCCACCACGAGGAAGCCGCUGCGCAAGUGGUCAAGGGACGGCCGCCAUCAUGAGCCAGGGGACGCCCGUUGGCGAGCCUCUGGGCAGGAAGCCAACGGGGAGGAUGCAACAAGCCGCCAGGGUCUUCUCGCUAGAAGGUGGAGGAGUAGAGGAUCCAAAUCCGAGGCGUGCAACGCGGCGGUGAGCGUCUCCGGCAGCGGCGGUGACCUGCGGGCAAAGGGGGACGGCUGGGGUGCUCGAUUCGAUCCAGCGCCAUGAGCCUGUACUUGCUGGAGAGAGAGAGCAGAUGAGGGAAAGAUAGAACGAGAGGAGGGAGAAAUACAGAGGAAAGAGGAGAGGGAGCUGCAAUGGUAGAUGGGAGAUGAACACGGUCUGGGGCCGGCCAUUCGCAUCUCUCCUCCUCUCCUGCUCUUGACCACCAUCGUGCCCUUCCCCCCUUCGCUUCUAGGAGUAGCUAUUUUCCUCGCUCGUCCUGCUGUUUGGCUUGAGUGUUUCUCCUUCCCAAAUCUGGUUGUAUGAUCUGGCCCAUUAUUGCGUCUCCAUUCUGUUCGUUGCUUCGUCUCCGUGUUGCUCGUCAAGAAAAGGAUCUCGUUUUGGACACCACAGCCUCGCUCAUGGCAUGCUUAAGGGUGACCUUUGGGAUGUAUACGGUGAUUGUUCCAUGGGAGUGUGUGCUGAGCUUUGUGCUGACAAUCAUGCCCCGACGAGGGAAGACCAGAGAGAUUCAGUGGUGGUGAAUAUUAAUAUCAAAUAGAGAAGGGCACAUACAAUCGGUCUUUCCAGUGUGAACUGAUCACUAGCAUUAUCACCAUUUUCAUGCAGGUUCAUUGUUUUAUAUCUUGUUUCUCCAUCUCAUACAUCAUCAUGUAUGCUUUGAAACAAUGGCACCAUGUUGCUUUUCUUGUUGGUGCAGUGCCUCCUCUGCCAUGAUGAUGGGCGCCAUGUCCGACCUUACAAAACACCAAGUUCAUGCCAAAAAUGCUCUUUACGUCUAGAUGACAAAUCCAUUAUUCCCUACACUGUCAUGUUGGAUACUCUUUUCUUCAGGGAGAAGUUUAGGUGGUCUGGUAGGUUGCGUGGCAGUGGCUAGCGCGUGGACGAGGAGAGCAAGGGGACGAUGGCUCAUCCAAGAGCCAGUGACGAGGAGGAGUGACGAGGAGGAGCACACAGGGAAGUUGGCUCCAUCCCUGCCUCCUCUAUUGCCAUUGAAGGCUUGAAGCACUGAAAAGGGGAGAGCAAGGGUACACAAUCCCCCGUUCCAGUCCAACCAGGUAAUCCAUGUUGAACAUUUGAAUUUUCCUGCUAAAUGCUUAUUGUUCAAGGAGCAAUGAUAAUAUUCUGCAAGCUGCUUCUGAAGAAUGAUCAUUAGCCUCAUUUAGCUGGAUGUUUUUUCUGGUGAACUAAUGGUGGAUAAUUGAGCUCUCAGUAAUGAUUUGUACCGGAUUAUUUCAAGGGCAACCACUCAGCCAGGGUGACUUACUGGAAUGAUUAUGUCGAUGAUAAGGAGCUAGGGUGAUCUUGCAUUGUACUCAAGAGUAGUAGUUCUAAACAUGUUAGUAAAACAAAAGUAGGUAUGUUUACCCUGGAAUUUAACUCAACCUUAUUCUUUAUUAUGUAGCCACCAUGUGGACAAGCUGGCACCUCCUGGUUACAUUUUGUUCACUUCAUGUGGCAUUAUGUAUGAAGCUCUUUGACAUUGAGGAUCUCUUUAUUUGUUUUUUCCUAACCCUGUCGUGGGAUUCUUAGUAGCCUUUCCUGUAUAUGAACAAAUUGCAAGAGAUACAUGCAAUUCACGGCCUGUGAAAGGUUGUUCGUAUGACACAUCCAUCUCACAGAUCCACCUCCUCUAUAUCUACAGGUAUCUGUCGCUUAUUUCUAUGGGUUCUUUGUAGUUCAAAUGUAGUAUCCUAUAUCAUUUCUGUUUUUAUUAUUAUGCAAAACUGCUUAUUCAGUUACAUGCGCCCUUUGCUAGAGAGUGCAAAAACUGAAAAAUGUUGUGGAGCAAAUUAGAUGGGUGAACUAAUAUAUAAUUAUGUAGUUGUUGUUGGCCGACGAUGGUCCAAAUGGUUAUUCCUUACUAAUAUUCACUUGAUAUUUAACUUAACAUUAUAUUUUAAGGUACCACUUCCUACAUAAUGGAGUGUCUGAUCUCGCUACAUCCAAAAAAGGAGCUUGCAUGAUGCGGCUCUGCGGGAUUUGAUGAUGUAUGCGAAUGUCUGAAUAAGUCCUGAAUUUCUUCCAACAAAUAGACACACUAAUUAGAUUCAGAAACCUAAAGAGAUUGAGUUCUUGAUGCCGCCAUGGGUGUGCAAACGAGCUAGUUUACAUUUGUCCCCAUUACUGCCACGGCGAAAUAACACGUCGCACUACGGCUAUUUAAGCCACACAUCAUCUUCUUCCUCCUCUCACAUCUCUCAUCUAUCUCCCAUCCUCUGCCAUUUGCCCUUCUUGUUCUUUGACCCCUUCUUCUUCUUCACACCCCUAAGCCAUGCAGUACACUGGACCAACCUACCGCUUCCCACCCACCGCGUCGGAGAGGCGCUAUACUGCCGGCGUGUAUGUUGAGCGUACACUACGUGUGUGGGCGAUAUCAAGGUGGAGGACCGCAAGGGGCUUCGCCGAGUUCUUCCUCAUGUCCGGCUACCGCCACCUCCCACGUGGAUCUCCAAGGAUGUUUCGCGUCGAGGAGGUCAUCCAAAACGGGGUGGUGGUUGCUAUCCGUGCCCACUUCACCAACCCCUUCGAUGCCUUCUACCUUCUCGGGCGCGUGUUUUGGUGUGGCUGCAAGUUCAUCGCUUUCACCACCCACAACAUCCUCACGGAGUACAGCAACAUCUUCCCCACCGCGUCGCACACGCACACUCUGCCGUACCACAUCGACAACACGCCGAAGGAGCAGUGAAGGGCACCCGGAGGAGCGAGGUGGAGAAGCCGAUGUCUAGGGUUUAGAACCCUCUAUCUUUUUUUCUUUUUUUGAAUCUAUGUUAUGUUAUUAAGUUGUAAUUGAACUAUAUGAUCGUGCUCUGGGCUUGUUGGCCUAUGUUAUGUUAUUAAGUUUUCUAUCUAUUUA
Long non-coding RNA from Triticum dicoccoides, 3241 nucleotides. RefSeq lists it as uncharacterized. The transcript is spliced from 6 exons. Lineage: Eukaryota; Viridiplantae; Streptophyta; Magnoliopsida; Poales; Poaceae. The record is from RefSeq and is a predicted model, not a curated record.